AGAGUCAUUUGCAUAGGGACGUGUUUGCAUGUGCAGAGCAUAUUUGGUCCAGAUGCUUGAUGUUGGGGCAGCUGAACGCUUACAACUGAUCCGUCAGCACAGACCAGCGAUGGCCUUCACUGCACUCUUCCUGUGGUCUCUCGUCGUCUGCAUUCAAGAUUCCAUGGGACAGGUCACUCUUACGCAACCUACAACAGUGACCAGCAGUCCAGGAGGCUCAGUUAAAAUCAGCUGUAAACGGACUGGAAGCAUUGAUUGGGACUGUUCUCCAAAAUGCAUCUCCUGGUACCAACAGAAGUCUGAGGAGAAACCCAAACUCCUCAUCUACUCUGUGAGCAGCCUCCAGUCUGGUAUUCCAUCUCGGUUUAGUGGCAGUGGAUCUGGGAAUGACUUCAGUCUGACCAUCAGUGGCGUCCAGAGUGAAGAUGCAGGAGAUUAUUACUGCAUGAGUUACCAUGACAUCAGAAAGGAUGUCGGUGAGUUCCCACGGUGAUACAGAGCCGUACAAAAACCUGCUUCAGUCAGUAGCCCCAGUGAGAGCCCUACUGCUGCAGCUGGAGCCCAGAGCAGGUGCUGAGAAGAGGGAAGUGGAGAGGAGUCACAUGGACAUGACACCAGGUUCCCACGCUAGUCUCUCACCAC
Non-coding RNA from Alosa sapidissima (American shad), 642 nucleotides. The record is from the annotation of a RefSeq genome assembly. NCBI's taxonomy places the organism in Eukaryota, Metazoa, Chordata, Actinopteri, Clupeiformes, Clupeidae.